GUAGGUGGCAAGCGUCGUCCGGAAUUAUUGGGCGUAAAGCGCGCGCAGGCGGUUCUUUAAGUCUGAUGUGAAAGCCCACGGCUCAACCGUGGAGGGUCAUUGGAAACUGGAGAACUUGAGUACAGAAGAGGAAAGCGGAAUUCCACGUGUAGCGGUGAAAUGCGUAGAGAUGUGGAGGAACACCAGUGGCGAAGGCGGCUUUCUGGUCUGUAACUGACGCUGAGGCGCGAAAGCGUGGGGAGCAAACAGGAUUAGAUACCCUGGUAGUCCACGCCGUAAACGAUGAGUGCUAAGUGUUAGGGGGGUUUCCGCCCCCCUUAGUGCUGCAGCUAACGCAUUAAGCACUCCGCCUGGGAGUACGGCCGCAAGGCUG
RNAcentral lists this ribosomal RNA (373 nucleotides) under uncultured organism. RNAcentral's name for it is "partial 16S ribosomal RNA". It matches the Rfam family "Bacterial small subunit ribosomal RNA", at positions 527 to 896 of the family's 1533-position model. The record is from RNAcentral.